GACGAACGCUGGCGGCGUGCUUAACACAUGCAAGUCGAACGGAAAGGCCCUGCUUUUGUGGGGUGCUCGAGUGGCGAACGGGGGAGUAACGCGUGAGUAACCUGCCCUUGACUUUGGGAUAACUUCAGGAAACUGGGGCUAAUACCGGAUAGGAGCUCCUGCUGCAUGGUGGGGGUUGGAAAGUUUCGGCGGUUGGGGAUGGACUCGCGGCUUAUCAGCUUGUUGGUGGGGUAGUGGCUUACCAAGGCUUUGACGGGUAGCCGGCCUGAGAGGGUGACCGGCCACAUUGGGCCUGCGAUACGGCCCAGACUCCUACGGGCGGCAGCAGUGGAGAAUAUUGCACAAUGGGCGGACGCCUGAUGCAGCAACGCCGCGUGCGGGAUGACGGCCUUCGGGUUGUAAACCGCUUUCGCCUGUGACGAAGCGUGAGUGACGGUAAUGGGUAAAGAAGCACCGGCUAACUACGUG
This 468-nucleotide ribosomal RNA is filed under the name uncultured bacterium. Its description in RNAcentral is "partial 16S ribosomal RNA". It matches the Rfam family "Bacterial small subunit ribosomal RNA", at positions 28 to 507 of the family's 1533-position model. The record is from RNAcentral.